RNAcentral lists this ribosomal RNA (274 nucleotides) under uncultured bacterium. Its description in RNAcentral is "partial 16S ribosomal RNA". It matches the Rfam family "Bacterial small subunit ribosomal RNA", at positions 523 to 796 of the family's 1533-position model. The record is from RNAcentral.
AUACGGAGGGUGCAAGCGUUACUCGGAAUCACUGGGCGUAAAGCGCGUGCAGGCGGCUUGAUAAGUUGGAUGUGAAAGCCUACGGCUCAACCGUCGAACUGCAUCCAAAACUGUCAAGCUAGAGUCUGGGAGGGGAAGAUGGAAUUAGUUGUGUAGGGGUAAAAUCCGUAGAGAUAACUAGGAAUACCAAAAGCGAAGGCGAUCUUCUGGAACAGUACUGACGCUGAGGCGCGAAAGCGUGGGGAGCAAACAGGAUUAGAAACCCCUGUAGUCC